UACGUAGGGUGCGAGCGUUGUCCGGAAUUAUUGGGCGUAAAGGGUGCGUAGGCGGCGCGGUAAGUCGGGUGUGAAAUCUCGGGGCUUAACUCCGAAACUGCAUUCGAUACUACCGUGCUUGAGGACUGGAGAGGAGACUGGAAUUUACGGUGUAGCGGUGAAAUGCGUAGAUAUCGUAAGGAAGACCAGUGGCGAAGGCGGGUCUCUGGACAGUUCCUGACGCUGAGGCACGAAGGCCAGGGGAGCAAACGGG
Molecule: ribosomal RNA, 253 nt
Filed under: uncultured bacterium
Lineage: Bacteria
Description: partial 16S ribosomal RNA
Rfam family: Bacterial small subunit ribosomal RNA
Source: RNAcentral